RNAcentral lists this ribosomal RNA (502 nucleotides) under Grammothele quercina. RNAcentral's name for it is "SSU rRNA". It matches the Rfam family "Bacterial small subunit ribosomal RNA", at positions 425 to 950 of the family's 1533-position model. Lineage: Eukaryota; Fungi; Basidiomycota; Agaricomycetes; Polyporales; Polyporaceae. The record is from RNAcentral.
UUAAAACUCGUGAUGUCGUAAGGGAAAAUAAUGAUAGUACCUUACUAUUAGUGUCGUCCAAAUCUAGUGCCAGAAGACUCGGUAAGACCAGAGACGCAAACGUUAAUCAUCUUAAGCAGGCGUAAAGGGUAAGUAGGCAGCUCCCAAAAAGAAGACAAUUAUGAAAUAAAGUCAACUUAUUGGGAGAUAGAAUCAAAUGGAGGUCAAACCGUAUAACGCUCGGGGGAGGGCUGAUAUCCUUAGAUCCCGAGUAGAAUACUAAGGGCGCAGGCCACUGACCACUAAUGAUUGACGCUGAGGAACGAAGGUUAGGGUAAGAAAUAGGAUUAGAUACCCCGGUACUCCUUUCUGUAAACGAUGAAUGGUAGUCAUUAGAAAACAAUAGCUUUUUUAGAGACGAAGUUAACACGAUAACCAUUCCGCCUUGUGAGUACUACUGCAAAGUAGAAAACAAAAAAAUUAGUCGGUCUCGAAGCAAACGGAGUGAAGCAUGUUAUUUAAU